Molecule: unclassified non-coding RNA, 195 nt
Filed under: soil metagenome
Description: partial contains 5.8S ribosomal RNA, internal transcribed spacer 2, and large subunit ribosomal RNA
Source: RNAcentral
AACGGUCUAUACCUGCGGUACCUGCGGAAGGAUCAUUACCGAGUUAUCCAACUCCCAACCCCUGUGAAUCAUACCUUUAAUUGUUGCUUCGGCGGGACUUCGCGCCCGCCGGGGACCCAAACCUUCUGAAUUUUUUAAUAAGUAUCUUCUGAGUGGUUAAAAAAAAUGAAUCAAAACUUUUAACAAUGGAUCUCU